Molecule: ribosomal RNA, 486 nt
Filed under: uncultured bacterium
Lineage: Bacteria
Description: partial 16S ribosomal RNA
Rfam family: Bacterial small subunit ribosomal RNA
Source: RNAcentral
AUUGAACGCUGGCGGCAUGCCUUACACAUGCAAGUCGAACGGCAGCACGGGUGCUUGCACCUGGUGGCGAGUGGCGAACGGGUGAGUAAUACAUCGGAACAUGUCCUGUAGUGGGGGAUAGCCCGGCGAAAGCCGGAUUAAUACCGCAUACGAUCUACGGAUGAAAGCGGGGGACCUUCGGGCCUCGCGCUAUAGGGUUGGCCGAUGGCUGAUUAGCUAGUUGGUGGGGUAAAGGCCUACCAAGGCGACGAUCAGUAGCUGGUCUGAGAGGACGACCAGCCACACUGGGACUGAGACACGGCCCAGACUCCUACGGGAGGCAGCAGUGGGGGAUUUUGGACAAUGGGCGAAAGCCUGAUCCAGCAAUGCCGCGUGUGUGAAGAAGGCCUUCGGGUUGUAAAGCACUUUUGUCCGGAAAGAAAUCCUUGGCCCUAAUACGGUCGGGGGAUGACGGUACCGGAAGAAUAAGCACCGGCUAACUACGUG